Molecule: long non-coding RNA, 234 nt
Filed under: Panax ginseng (ginseng)
Lineage: Eukaryota; Viridiplantae; Streptophyta; Magnoliopsida; Apiales; Araliaceae
Description: long non-coding RNA (PGIN_LNC004092)
Source: RNAcentral
ACAGAGUCUGAGGGGGAGCCAGAUCAGAAAGAUGAUGAAGGGGAGCCAAGCAGAGACAGAAGGUCAUCAUCUGAGGGGGAGCAAGAGAAAGAAGAACAAUCAGAUGAGUAGCUGAUCAACAAGCAUCCUAGAAAACAUACAUGAAGCCAAGGAGGUACAUCUCUAAACUGUUAGGUAUGUUCUGGAUCUAGGAUGUAGAAUGUCUGAAUAUAUAAAUUUCCAUAUCAAUAUAAA